GCCUCUCUCUCUCUCUCUCGUUCGUUAUCCUCUUCUUGUGGCUCUUAUGGCGUCCCCAUGGCCUCCUCUCUUUUCUUUCCUAUCUUUCCCUCGCUCCCCUUUCGAAUUAGGGCUCGCGCGACUCUCUCUUCUCCAUGACGACCGUGGCGUGCAGGAUCUCCGCCGCUGGAGCAAUGCUCUUCUCCGCCUCCCCUCGACCCCACCGCAACCACCCCGUGAUCAUCCCCCAUACCCUCCCUCGUCGUCGCCUGACGACCCUGCGGAGCCCCGAUCGGAUCGCCUGCAAGGCCACCGAGGUCUCCGAGGUGGAGGAGGGGGAGCCGGCUGUGGCGGCAGCCAAGGACGCUGACGGCGGCAUGAACUGGGUCCCCGUCGUCCCGUUGGCGGCGCUGCCCAAGGGGGAGCGCCGCGUCAUCAUUCAGGACGGGGAGACGAUCCUGUUGCUCUGGUACAAGGAUGACGUCGUCGCGAUAGAGAACCGGUCACCGGCCGAGGGGGCAUACACUGAAGGCCUCUUCAACGCCAAACUCACGCAGGAUGGCUGCAUUGUUUGUCCGACUACAGAUAGCACAUUUGAACUUCGAACCGGAGAGAUCAAGGAAUGGUACCCAAAAAAUCCUGUUCUUAGGGUCCUUACACCACCUUUGAGGAAACUUUAUGUGUACCCUGUCAAACUAGAUGGAGAGAACAUCUAUAUCAGCAUGAGAGGAGGUUCUGGAGGAUCCGCAGAGAUUGUUUUCAGUGGCAGAGCUCAGCCCGGUAUGACGGCAUCAGAUGUCAAUGUGGAGGAGGUUAGGAUGGUAGUUGAUGAGGAUUCUGAAGGAUUUGGUUUCACAGGAAAAAAUGAACUACUAAAUGGGAAGGCAGCCAUAAUUGGCUUCUUACUAUUGAUAGAUUUUGAGCUUUUAACUGGUAAAGGUCUUCUCAAGGGGACAGGUUUCUUGGACUUCAUCUAUUCAGUUUCGAAGGCUUUUGAAUCCUUUUAGGCAUUUCUUCAUUUCCUCAUCAAGUUGUUGGAACGUCAGUAAUGUUCAUAAUCUGCAGAAGAAUCAUCAAGUGUUAAUGCACACAGAUAAAGCGGCCUUCAGUCGUUUGCAGUCCCAUGCCAUGCUUAAUAAACAUCACGCCCCUCAUUAUUCAGGGGUUGGCUGGAUUCACCUUUCCUGUUAGCUGCCACAUCACUAUCGCCACUGACACAGUUUCCCAGAUGUAAGUUGGCACCUAUCUAUUGUUUCUUUUACAUUACUCGCCUGAACCCUUUGCCAAAACUAUGUAAACUGUUCGAAGUCUUUGUGUAACCUUGUACAUCAUUAUUUGUGUGAUAAUUUUGUUA
Musa acuminata AAA Group (dessert banana) is the source of this 1333-nucleotide RNA transcript. RefSeq lists it as uncharacterized. NCBI's taxonomy places the organism in Eukaryota, Viridiplantae, Streptophyta, Magnoliopsida, Zingiberales, Musaceae. The transcript has 4 exons. The record is from RefSeq and is a predicted model, not a curated record.